Drosophila melanogaster (fruit fly) is the source of this 7978-nucleotide non-coding RNA. NCBI's taxonomy places the organism in Eukaryota, Metazoa, Arthropoda, Insecta, Diptera, Drosophilidae. The record is from Ensembl.
UUUAGAUGAAAAUUACAAACAAAUCAAUAGAUUAUAUUAUUGGCCAAAUUUAUUUAUUAAAUUAAAAGAAUACAUAAAAAAUUGUACAAUUUGCAACGAAAAUAAAUACAACAGGCAUCAUACUAAAAUUCCUAUUGGGGAAGCCCCUAUUCCAACUAAAGAAGGAGAGAAUUUACACAUCGACAUUUAUUACGCGCAAAGUCUUAUUUUCUUAACUUGUAUUGAUGCGUAUUCAAAAUUCCUGGUUGUAAAAGAAAUACAAAAUGAACUAAACAUCGAGAAUAAAGUAAUGGAACUACUCCAACAAUUUCCCCACGCCAAAGUAAUUAUGACUGAUAAUGAACCAAGCUUUACCUCUGUCCAAUUUAAAUCCUUUGCACAAAGAUGUGGUUUAACUCUACAUUUCGCAGACCCCAGACACAGUACCUCGAACGGACAAGUAGAAAGGGCACAUUCAACAUUAACAGAAUUAGCUCGUUGUAUAAAGGAAGAAUUUAAUCUUACUGACUAUUCUGAAAUAAUUAUUAGAGCCGCAAAAGAAUUCAAUCAGAGCAUCCAUUCAACAACAAACCAAAAACCUUUUGAUAUUCUUUAUAAUAAAAUUAAUCACGAAAAUAUUUCAAGAAUUCUAAAGAACACACAAGAAAAAAUGUUAGUAACACAUAAUGAAGGUCGCAAAGAAAAAGAAUACCAUGUAGGUCAAGUUGUUUAUGAAAAGAAACACGGAGAAAUAAAUAAGCUAAAAACUAGAUACAAAAAACAAAUUGUUAAGGAAAACUUACCUAACAAUGUUAUAAUCAAAAAUAGAAACAGAACUAUUCACAAAGACAACAUUAAGUUUUAACAAAUACCAUAUUUUUUUUUUAUUUUAUUAAAUUACAGAACGUGCAUUUCUUAUUACUUCUAAUACCAUUCGUAAUGAUAAGCACUUCAGAAAUAAUUGAUUACUCCAAUCACGAAUUCUUCCUGUUCAAGGACAAAAAGGAUGUCCUUACCUAUGAAUCAUAUGCCAACUUAUUCCACGUAACUAACUUAAGUUUUUAUAAAGAAAUAAUCAAUCUAGAAUCAGGAUAUGUUAGAAAAGAUACAAAUAAUCGGACAAAAUAGGAAAUUACUUACGAAAUACAGAUACUGAAAUUAAUUCUGUCACAAUUGAUACCAACUAGAUCAAAAAGGGGAAUGAAUAAAUGAGUUAGGCACUGUUUGGAAAUGGUUAGCUGGAACUCCGGAUCACGAUGAUUUCAUUAAAAUACAGAAUAAAAUAAAUGAUUUAAUUGAAAACAAUAACCAACAAUUUAUUAUUAAUUCCAAAUUGUUUAAAGAGAUAAAAUCACUUUCCGAUCACUUUAAAAACAUUUUUAUUGAUCAAGAAUUGCCGUUACAAAAACAUCGUUUACGUUUAUUAACAUUUGACUUACAAAACCUUAUUGAUACUAUCACGCUAGCCAAAAUUGAUUUAUUCAACACACAAAUUUUAAAUAAUGAAGACAUUAAAGAAAUAUUAGAUCACGAACAACAACCUAUAAUUAUUGCAGACCUAAUGGACAUCUCCAUAUUCAAAAUUGUAUUGCAUAAAGAACUCUUAAUUAUUUAUAUAAAAUACCCCGUUAUAACAAACAGAUGCGAAAUUUACUAUGCCAGAUCCAUUUCACAUAAUGAUGGAAAAUUACUAAUAAGUAAUAAGGUCAAAAAAUGCGAAAAUACCUUUUAUGAAAUAUCUAAUUUUAAGAACGAACUUUUUAACAACUAUUGUAUUAUAAGUAAAGAUAAGACUUGUUUUACCCGUUUACUAAAUGGAGAAAAAUCAAUUUGCACUAAAAUUCUAGAAAAAAAAUAAGAAUAUAGAUAUCAUUUAAGAAGGUGCCAUUCUUAUAAAUGGAAAUAAUAUUGUGAACGAUUCUCAUUUAAACGGGUCAGAUUUAAUAACAUUUAACAGCACAACUACAAUAAAUAAUAUUUCAUACACCAACUCAGAAAACAAAAUACUUGAGUACAUUACUACCAACCAUUUUAAAAACCUGGAAAUAUCAGAAUAUAUAAAAUCCAACAAUUGAGAACUUUCUCUUGACAACAUUAAAAUUUUAAACCCAUUUAUUGAAAUUUACAAUUGGAAAAUUUCAAUUUCAUUUAUAUUACUAAUUUUAAUCAUUUUGUACUUCAUUACUAUGUUAAUAUUAAAAUUCAGAAAUUAUAUAUUUGUAACCAAACAAAAACGGCCAGAACUAGAAAAACCAAAUAAUGAAGUAGAAUUUUUAACAGAAUUAAAUGAGCGUUUAAACGAAAUUAAUAAUGAAGCGGGACGCGUCAUUUUAGAAGGGGGAGAGUUAUCCAACCCAUAAACAUAUCACCCUUCCACAGUUUAUAAACCAAUUUCAAUUCUCAAUCUCGAGUUAUCCAACCCAUAAACAUGGCACCCUUCCACAGUUUAUAAACAAAUUUCAAUUCUCAAUCUCGUCGGCAUUUCCUUUGUCUUUGUUUUUGUCAUUGCCUUUGCCAACGCUUAGCUACCCGCUAAAGUAAAUAACACAUACUUAACGUAAACACAGCUUCCGCUUGGAAACCAAACAACGGCCAACUUAUUACGCUUCAAUCAAAAACUGCAUCGAUCAGCAUAAUUGAAUUUCACAAUGCAGUGGAAUAAUUUCAGCAUAAAGCUUUUAUCAAAAGUUCAGAAAGUGUCAAAGAAAAGCUUCUGGCCGAGGUUGAUUGGAUUAGGAUUCAGAAUUUGAAGAUCAGUCUGAUUCGGGAGGAUUAAAAGAACGGUUUAUAAAUGUAUAAAUAGAUAACAAUAAGUGUCUUGUAAUAAAGUGAUAAGUUGAAAAGUUUAACACCAAGAAAAAUAUUAAAAAAUAAAAAAUUAUUUUUUUAAAUAAUUUAUACCGCAAAAAGUUAAUUUGCACGUUCCUGUGGAAGAUACUCCACCAUUUCAGUAUGAGACCGAAAUUUUUUCAAUUUUAGAAUCUGUGCAGACUCUUCUGAAAUAAUUGUGCUUUGAGAGCCACUAUCAAUUAAUGCUCUUAAUUGUUCAAAGCCUCCAUACCUCUACUUUACUUGAAUCAAGGCCGUGGCCAACAAGGCUGGACCUGUUGUUCUGCAUGUAUUCACUUUUUCUGGAUUAUGACCUACGAAGUGAAAAAAAUAUGGUGAGGUUUACGACAAGUCGAACAAAGCUGCUCGCUUAUACAUUUUUUACCAAAGGGAUGCCUCAGACAUCUUAGGCAAAUCCCAUUUUUUCUUACCCAGUUAGACCGUUCUGCUGGAUUCAUUAUUUUAAAUUUAUGGCAUUGAAUUAAAUAAUGCCCUGGUAGUUUGCAAUAUGCACAAUUGUCACUAUAACUUUUAUUCUUGUUAUUAUUAAUCAUUUUCUUUACAGGUUUUACUUCCUGUGAAAAUGAUGAUAUAGAAUUGAGCCUUUGCUCUAAAAAGUCCAUGACAUCAGAAAGUGCCUGUAUUUCUUUUGUCUUUUUAACAUGGCUUUCAUAUAAAUUGAGUGAUUCUUUAUUGAAUUUCCGAAGAAUUAUGUGAGCGAAAAUUGCAUCCACAUCUUCUGGUAAUUGUGCCUUUAAUUUUAUGAUAUAAAUUGACUCGUUAAUCGUGUCAAAAAAUGCCUUUAUUUGCUUAUUGGAUUCCAAAUUUAAAUUUGGCAUAUCCAUAAGCCUAUUCAUAUGAUCUGAGAAUAUGUUUCUUUUAUUCUCAUACCGCUUGGUCAAAAACUUCCAAGUGGCUUCAUAAUUUUCUCCACAGCCGAGCAGUAAAUGAGUAACCACAUUUCUGGCUUCUCCUUUUAAUGCUGACUUUAGAUAAUUAAAUUUGAUAUAAGGACUGAGAUCCUCUCUCACAUGUAUGAGCUCUGUAAAGAGUUCAUUAAAAAGAUCCCAUUCUUUGGAAUCACCAAAGAAAGUGGGUAUCUGUAUUUUAGGCAGGAUUGGUAACUCCUCCGCCUUAACAACCGUCGACAUUUCAGCUUUAUUUAUUGUGCCACUGAGUCGACUAUUAAUGGCUGUUAGAAUAUUUUGUUAGUCAAAUUCAAGUUCGCUAAUUUCUUCUUAAAAUAGCGAACUCUCAAAAUGACUAUUCACCUGUUCAAUCAGGUUAUCUAUUUUAUGCCAUAAAAAUUCAAUUUUAUUUUUCCUUAUUUUAAGGAAAUCUGGACUACUGUCUAUUAGUUUAGACGUAUCUUCUAGAUAUACUCGAAAUUGGCCAACAUUAAAUCGGAGUGCCUGCUCUACUUUUGAAGCGUUGUCCCUUCUGUUUUGUGCUAUACCCUCUUUUUCAGGGUGAUCACCCAAUUCAAGGUUUAAUGUAGGGGGGGGGGGGUUGAUUUAAGGACAGUGUUUGAUUUAGGGACAGUGUUUUCUACCGACUCGUCCUUAAUUUUUUCAUUUUUAUUUUUAAUUUUUUUCUAACACCAUCAUUAUUAAAUCAUACUGCUUCGUGUUAAAAUAUUCAUGAUCGACAACGCCGAUCUUCAACAAAUUGCUAUGGUUAGCAAUGAAACAUUUUUGAAGCUCAUUUAAAUUUAGAAUUUCUACAUCUGUUAAUGUUGGUUUUACUUCCAACUUUCUAAUUUCCAAAAUAAUUUCGGACUGCUUCUUAAGGAAUUGAAUAGUCUUUUCUGACAUCAUUUUGAAAUUUUUUUUUAUAUAGAUGGGCUUGAUUUGAUUGUAAGUUCUUAAUAUAUAUAGUACGUGUGUAUGUAUUGUAUAUGUAUUUAUAUAUAUAUGUGUGUUUUAAGAAACAGAAAAUUCUUGUUUUGACUUAGCUGAUGUCGUCGUGGUUGCUGCUGCUGUUGCUACUGCUGUUGCUGCUUCUGCUGCUGCUGUUGUUGCUGCUGGUAGAGGCUCCUUUGAAUUUGACUUCCUUCUCUUCUUUAAGGCUCCGUUGACGUCGAUGUUUAAAGAUGAUUUUUUUUUUUUUUUUUUAAUUCCACAAUUGCUGAUGUAUGGUACACAAAGCAACCUUUAGCUAUAGACUAUAAGGUGCUUGUUUAUUUAAAACAUAAAAGAUUCUUUUGUAUCUUUUUGCUUUUUAUAUUUAUACUCUGUUCCUUACCAUAUAGGGGGAAACAAGAGUUAAUUAUUUUUGCUACCUUUAGCUGCAAGUUUAACUCAGCAAUGCUUAAAGGAGCUGGUCUUUCUCUGAGUCCCUUACCAUAUAGGGGGAAACUGCAGAGUCGAUUUAAGGCUCGAUUGACCAAAUGUAAAAUCCCAAAUGAGAAGACUUUACUCGUUGAGUUUUUGUAAGAAACUGGUUUUAUUUGGAAAUAUCUUCGGUUUAAAUAGGUGACAUGAGAAUCGCAUCUUAAAGUAAAUGGCCUACGCAGAGGCCUAAGUAAAUAGUCCCCGCCUUAUCGAGGUCCCACGCUCGGGCACAUCUGCCUAUCUUGAGCGGCGAGGACCUUAUCUGUGGUCUCCCACUAAGGGACUAUUUUAGGAGGCGGGGAACGAUCUCAAGUGACUGACUCAUGUAGUGUGCACUUAAAUUACAUGUUUUUGAGCAAUGCACCCAUGUCGCCUUAGAUAACAAAAUCCUAAAUAUAAUUUAUCGCUCUCGAUUCAUUUACAUAAGAUAUGAACGGAGCCCAAAAUUGUAAGUCUUUAAAUAUAUUCGUGUUCAUGUGUGAACAUUCUGCCAAAGGGCCAGCAAGCUGAGAUGUACAUUAGUAUAUUAGUUGCAUUUAUAACAGUAGUGGACUGUAUUUAUUUGAUAUAUGUUCAUUUAUUUUGCAACUAAGAUUUCAAUGGGCCUAGUUUUUCUGGCUUUUAAUUUUAUUGGAUUACAAUUAUGGUUUAUAUUAUUUUUAAUUCAACAAUUUGUACUCAAUUAACUUAUUUUAAACAUUUUGCUUUUUCUAUGUAGAAGUACAUUUUCUAUUAAACAACGAUAUAGUGGACUGUAUAUUUUUAUUUGUUAUAUUAUUUUAUUGUUUAUUUACUAUUGAUAUUUAUAGUACUGGCAACGGACCUGCAAAGGUUAUUGCUUGCAUUCUUUGUUGCACAGCACAUUUCCGUAUGAAAUAUAUUAUUAAUACUAUCAUUAGUAUUAAAGCAAUAAUUAAUCCAGCAUGUCCGGAAAUAUGAUGGAAAUGUAAAUCUUUCAAUUUUUGAUGGUUCUCUUUCAUAAAUUUAAUUUCAUUAUUCAAUCGUUCAAAUUCCUCAGUAUGAUUUAAUAUUGAUAGUUUCAGCGGAUCCCAAAUAAUCUUCGGCGCUUCACUAACUUCUCCUAUAUAAGGUGUUGAUAAUAAUUCUUCACUUUCGGACUGAAUGUUAUGGUGGGCAACUAGAAUUUUAUCGUCGGUUCUUGCCGUACAAUAUGGCGCAAUGCUUAAAACUCCUUGCUGAGGCAAAUCAAACAAUUCAAUUUGAGAGCCAGUACAUUGCAGACGGACUUUUGAAUUCGCAGGAACCUUAAACAACCAACUACUUUUCUUUUCUAACUCUACCCAGUAACUUUUAGAGUCGACUACUGUUUUAUAGAUGCAGUUCGCCGCUUUAUCUGGCUUUAGAGGCUGAAUCUCACAUGCAUUAUCAUUCGCUGAAUUCCAGGGCCAACUUCCUUUGCAUAUUCUCUUAUUUAGUUGCCAUUUCUGACAUUGAUUUAAUGUGGCUUCCGUCAUUAUGUGAUAGGAAUCUAUCUCAAAAUUAUAAAUUAAAUAUUCGGACGUUGUAUGCACCAUUAUUAUCCGAUCUUCAUUUCGAAUUGGCACCGGAAUAAGCCUGAACAAUUUGGAUGGAUGCCUGCUAAACAGAGGCACUUUUGCACUAAUGAUCAAUUUAUCGUCGAUGAAUAAACCCCUGGCUGUUAACAGUGUAUACACCUCCUUAAGUUCCGUACCUGACCGUUUUCCUGGAAUUACUAGGUUCUCCGAAAGACUCUGCUGAAUUUUGGCAAUUUCUUUUUUAAGCUGAUUUGGCCUGAGAAUAUUUGUAUUUAGCCUACCGUGAUUAAUAUCAAUCAACAGGCUUAUAAUGCCUGCUUGAAUUUUUUCGCCUUCUUCAAUCAAUGAGUGUAGCUGUUUCGUAAUCAUAAAGAAUUUUAUUGAUUCCUUAUAAACAUAAUAAUUUUCUUUAAGAACUUCUGUCAUGUUCUCAAUUCUUAUUUGCAUACUUCUAAAAUUGGAGUUAACAUCUUCUGUUGUUCUCUUUAAUAGAUUAGAAGUUGAAUCAACCACAGAUGUUUGUUUUUGAAUUAGUUUAUCAAGGUUGUUCUGGUUAUCUAACAAAUUCUUCAUAUUUUCUUCUAAUUGCUCUCUAUCAUCUUCAUCCAUUAUACCAAAUAAAAUAUGAUACAAGGAACCCAUAAAUUCGAAAGGAGCACGCUUGCUUCUAGAUCUAGACUGUAUCAUAAACAAUUUAUUGUUUUCUUCAAGUUCCGAUAACUGACUUUGCAUAUUAUCUAAGACUAGACUACAUUGCUCUUCAAAGCUAUGAAGUCUUUCGCAAACUUUCCUCAUACUUUGUAUAAGCGCAUUACCCUUUGUUAACAUUUUAAAAUAUGGAUCCAUUUUAUAAUAGAUAACCAAAUUCCAAGAAGUACUCACAAUCUCAACAUCUCCUAGCGGGUCUAGAUAUAUUGCUGAGGUUUUAUUUAUUUUGUCUAUAGAAUAUCUUGGUGCUAUAUCUUUAGGUAAUGCGCUAGAAACUUGACAACUUAACACAAACAACAACAUUGCCAUAAUGAUUCCGAUCUUGGACAUUCCCGAUGUCGCUCUAGUUCGUCUUUUUGGCUCUUGGUCAGCCUCAUUUUUGUCAACAGACUUUAUUCCUUCCAAGGGACAAAUUUUAGUAAUGGGUCUAGUGAUAUAUCCUUCCUGCAUCUUUACUUUAGCCACUCGGACCUUAUCAUCAUUCCCCUUAUGCACCUUUUCCACCUUUCCUAAAGGCCAUCUUGCAGGAUGACAAUUCUCAUCCUUUAAUAAAACUAUUUGCCCUUCUUCUAUAUUAGGAAUUUCCUUUUUCCAUUUAUUCCUUUGCUGGAG